This is a long non-coding RNA of Pipra filicauda (Wire-tailed manakin), 739 nucleotides long. RefSeq lists it as uncharacterized. The transcript has 2 exons. The record is from RefSeq and is a predicted model, not a curated record. Lineage: Eukaryota; Metazoa; Chordata; Aves; Passeriformes; Pipridae.
GGUUUUUAAAGACAUCUCCACAUUGAAGUAUAUAUCUCAAUUGACUUGAAAUAAGAAGGCUGAGAAGCUUAAAUCCAAAGACUAAGAACUAAUAAGAUGUUACAUUGGGAAAAACUCCUGAAAUCCGUUCUUGGUAUGCUGUGUUGCCUAUUUUUUAGUGUCUGUGAGAAGCUGCCUGGUGGAAUGAAUCCUUCCAACCAAGCCAUGGAAGUGAACAACACAAGGCAAAGCAAACGACCUGCAGUCUGGCUUGGCCUCUACUUCAAGUGCCUUUCUGGGGAAAUAUCACCAUGGUUUUUCUCAGUCCAGAACCUCAUAUUUGAACUCCUUUUACAUAAUUUUGUGCCUUUUUUUUUUUCCUUCCUAGAGGGAGACAGAAUGUCAAGGUCCCGAGCUACGCUUGUUCUUUUCAUUGCAAGAGAGGUGCAAGGAAAAAGUGGAGCUCAGUUUGAAGUUACCAUUUCUUUUUAAUUGAUCUGCAUUUCUUCAUGGCCAUGAAAGAGCUCCAUUCACUGCUGUGUCCUGUUCUUGCUGGCUGUGGAUGGAGCUUGCUGCUCUUGCACUUUUCCUCUGUUGUUCAAGUCAACUCUAAACUUUUCAGCACAUGAGAGCACAGAGAUAACAAACCCCCAAAUGUUAUGUGAGAAUGUCACAACUUGGGAAACAGAGGCAUGGAUUUAAAAAUUACUUGCAUGGCAGAAAAAUUAAACAACUGUUACUCUGAGAGGCAGCUAGAAAA